UGGGGGGACCAUCCUCCAAGGCUAAAUACUCCUGACUGACCGAUAGUGAACCAGUACCGUGAGGGAAAGGCGAAAAGAACCCCUGUGAGGGGAGUGAAAUAGAUCCUGAAACCGCAUGCAUACAAGCAGUGGGAGCACCUUCGUGGUGUGACUGCGUACCUUUUGUAUAAUGGGUCAGCGACUUAUAUUCAGUAGCAAGGUUAACCGUAUAGGGGAGCCGUAGAGAAAUCGAGUCUUAAUAGGGCGUUUAGUUGCUGGGUAUAGACCCGAAACCAGGCGAUCUAUCCAUGAGCAGGUUGAAGGUUGGGUAACACUAACUGGAGGACCGAACCCACUGUCGUUGAAAAGCCAGGGGAUGACUUGUGGAUAGGGGUGAAAGGCUAAUCAAGCCUGGUGAUAGCUGGUUCUCCCCGAAAGCUAUUUAGGUAGCGCCUCGGACGAAUACCAUAGGGGGUAGAGCACUGUUUCGGCUAGGGGGUCAUCCCGACUUACCAAACCGAUGCAAACUCCGAAUACCUAUGAGUACUAUCCGGGAGACAGACUGCGGGUGCUAACGUCCGUAGUCAAGAGGAAAACAAUCCAGACCGCCAGCUAAGGCCCCAAAAUCAUAGUUAAGUGGGAAACGAUGUGGGAAGGCAUAGACAGCUAGGAGGUUGGCUUAGAAGCAGCCACCCUUUAAAGAAAGCGUAAUAGCUCACUAGUCGAGUCGGCCUGCGCGGAAGAUGUAACGGGGCUAAAA
This 739-nucleotide ribosomal RNA is filed under the name Acinetobacter baumannii. Its description in RNAcentral is "partial 23S ribosomal RNA". It matches the Rfam family "Bacterial large subunit ribosomal RNA", at positions 445 to 1186 of the family's 2925-position model. The record is from RNAcentral. Lineage: Bacteria; Pseudomonadati; Pseudomonadota; Gammaproteobacteria; Moraxellales; Moraxellaceae.